AUGUUGGUUUCACCAACUAUCCGCAACCUCAAGGUCACUAAGAUGCUGGUUGACGGUGGGGCCGGCUUGAACCUGAUCUCCUCCGCGGUACUCCAGAAACUCCAGAUCCCUGACAGCGAGCUCGAAGAGACACGCACAUUCCAAGGAAUCAAUCCGGGAAGGAGCAAGCCGAAGGGAAAGAUCACGUUGCCGGUGACAUUUGGCAACGAGUUGAACUUCAGGACUGAGAGGGUCACUUUUGACGUUGCUGAUUUUCCAUUGCCUUACAAUGGGAUACUCGGUCGUCCAGCACUCGCCAAAUUCAUGGCAGCCUCUCACUAUGCAUACAACAUGCUGAAGAUGCCAGGCCCGAUAAGUGUCAUCUCUGUCCUGGGCGACAAGAAGGAUGCUCUUAUCUGCACCGACAAGAUCUACCGGGAAGCAGCAGCCGCAACAGAUCGCAAGUCACUUGCCGUUGAAGCUCCCGGGGGGAAGAAGAAGACCAAGUCCGGCAAGAGUUCUGAUGCCCACUCCAGCAAGCGCACCUCUUCGGAGCGCUGCGCUACCGUCGAGGACGCACCAUCGAGCUCCACCGGCAAGUGUAAAAAGACAAUGGCAGCUCCACCAGAGACCAAGAAGGUGUCCGCCAAGGAGGACGGCACUGGUGGUACCUUCACCAUCAGUGCCACUCUCGACCCAAAAUAG
Molecule: ribosomal RNA, 684 nt
Filed under: Triticum aestivum (bread wheat)
Lineage: Eukaryota; Viridiplantae; Streptophyta; Magnoliopsida; Poales; Poaceae
Description: partial small subunit ribosomal RNA
Source: RNAcentral